CACCGCGGGCUUUUAAAGACAUUUUUGUUUGUUUGUUUUUAUUUUAUUUGCGGCUUCUGUAUAAAAACUAGCGGUUUAAGUUGUACACAAACACGCUUUUGAAUUGCCGCCAGCUAAAUAUUAAGAUCGGGAUGAAAGCGUAAAAUGAUGAUCUCGUAAACAUAUGAAAAUACGGGAUUAAGAACAGGAUUUCCUAAUCGUAGACACUGUUGGCUGAAGAAAUUGUUUUAAACAUUUUAACGGACAGUUUGGGUGAUGAAUUGCCCAUCAAGGACGUUCUACCUUGGACAGCAUCCUAUAACGAAGAAAAAUGGAUUGCCUUUGGAUGAAAAACCAACAACUAGACGUUCGAGCCGUCUCCAUCACGCGCAGCCCUCUGAACGUGGACUACAGAAGAGGGGAUGCUUUAACAGCACUUCUACUAUGCAAAAUGAGAUGAAACAGUUGAUGCCUGUUGAUUCAACUUCAGUGAAGGAUGCAGGGAAUAUAAAAGAGUCUAAAUUGACUAAAGG
This is a long non-coding RNA of Ictalurus furcatus (blue catfish), 512 nucleotides long. RefSeq lists it as uncharacterized. The record is from RefSeq and is a predicted model, not a curated record. The transcript is spliced from 4 exons. NCBI's taxonomy places the organism in Eukaryota, Metazoa, Chordata, Actinopteri, Siluriformes, Ictaluridae.